RNAcentral lists this unclassified non-coding RNA (5738 nucleotides) under Hevea brasiliensis (rubber tree). Lineage: Eukaryota; Viridiplantae; Streptophyta; Magnoliopsida; Malpighiales; Euphorbiaceae. The record is from RNAcentral.
GGACAGGGACAGGGACAGGGACAGAGAUCGGAUAAUCAACAGAGGCAAGAGAAGAAGAGGAGACAGGUUGAUGCACGGGAGCAAUAGAGAAGAUGGGGGCGAUGAGAGCUCAGAGGAGAGUGUAAAUGAUGAUGAAGACGAUGAAGACGACGAUGGAGGUGCCGUAGGUAGCUCCAUGAGGAUGCUCCCACCAAAUCCUUCCUCCCUAUCUUCAUCUUCUAUGUCGAAUCAUCACCAUCGGAAAAGUUUCCCCCCGCCGGCCAAAGUUUUUAGAACCACGACGGCGACAGCCCCGUGGAAGGCACCCGAUGAGAUGAUUGGCGUUUCGGUGCCUAGAAAAGCUCGGUCAGCGUCUACAAAGAGGUCUCAUGAAUGGGCUUCAAGUUGUGGAGUUGGUACUGAGCAAAUUCAUCGGCAAGCGUCCACAUCUCCGGUGAGAUCGAGUGGACCAAGCGUUGCAGCGAUGUUGGCUUCAGCAUCCGCGUCCCCUGCUCCAGUCUCGCCGUCUUCUUCUAAUGCCUCAGUUAAGAAGAAGAUGAAGCCUAAUGGGCCGAAGCAGAGACCGCCGAAAUCCUCGUCUAAGUUUACUUCCUCAACUCAGGAGGAGAUUGAGGUCGCUGAGGUGUUGUAUGGCUUAAUGAGGCAGCCUCAGGGACCAACAAAGCAAGAAGUAGUUGCAAAUGAUUCAAUGAAGUUUGAUUCGAAGGAAGUGAGCAACAAUAAGUCCACUGGUGAUGCCAAAUCCAGAGUUUCCUCGCCGAUCUCCAACUCACCUUCCCCCAUACCUCAGUCUUCUUCAAUUCCUCCCACUAAUUCUAGCUCAUCUGCUACUCCCAUGUCUGCAAUUGCGCCAAAGAGAAAAAAGCCGCGACCUGUCAAGUACGAAGAUGAGAAUCCAUCAGUUUAUCCUGUGCGGAAUAGUCCCAUUGCGUCAACAAUCAAGGUCGAUAUCGAUCAGCCUCCCAAAAUCGAAAAUUGUUCUCCCAAUUUGGCAAAGAAUUCAGGAUCCGCUGCUGAAAAUGGCGUCGUUCCACAAGAUACGACAACCAGUAAAGCUGUACUGGUUUCGACAGAAGCCCAGCCGCAGCUGCAGCCGGAGCAAGUGAAGUCUGAGAGCAUUUCGUUGUUGGAUUCGAGACCACCGGUGCAAGAAUCAGAUUGUAAAGAUUUAGUUGUGAACAAAGAGGAGCCUCGAUCGCCGAAGAAGGAAUCUUCUAAUGUUGGUCUAAGAUUGGAUGAUGAUAGUGAGAGUGUGACAGCGACUAAAGCUAAUUCGGCGGUUUCUGAAGUUGAAACCCAGCGAGAAGAGAAGUUCCAGAUAGAUCUGAUGGCUCCACCUCCAGUAAGAUCAUCUCCAGAAAGGGACAGUGAGAUUGGUUUUGUGGCCAUAGAUCCUAAACCUAGAAUCACAGAUGUGGAAACGGAAAUGAAAGCGGCGGUCAAAGAUGAUGAUAAGGCAGUGAAAAUUGGAAAAGAUGUGAAUAUGGAACGAGAGGAGAAAAGGACAAAAGUGGUUGCUGAAGAAGCUGAAUGCCAUAAACCAGUUGUUAUUGCUAAUAAAGAGAGGAAUAUUGAUCUUCAGCUUGAUUUGGAGAAACCUGAUGGUGUCAUCGUUGCUGGAAGUGGCAACAAGGUGCACCAAGAUGUUCAGAAACAACAGCAGCAACCGCAACCACACACUGAGAAAGCUGCUCAAUCAAAUUCUCUUCCUCUACCUAUGUCAAUGGCUGCCUGGCCCGGUGGGCUUCCUCACAUGGGAUAUAUGGCACCUCUACAAGGAGUUGUAUCCAUGGACGUGAGCACUGUAUCUUCUGCAGCUAUACAGCCUCCACAUUUGCUUUUUAGUCAACCAAGGCCGAAGAGGGGUGCAACGCAUUACUACAUUGCACGGAAUAUUCAUUAUCACCAGCAAUUUACAAGGAUGAAUCCUUUCUGGCCAGCAGCUGCUGGUUCUGCUUUACAAUUUGGGGCAAAGGCCUGCAACGUCAAUGUGGUUCCCUCAACAGAUUUGCAUGGCAGUAGGGGUUUGCACUCUGUGCAAGACAAGGGUCAGGGUCUAGCCAUCUUUCCUGGUCACACGGGUAAGGAGAAGAGCUCUCAAACUUCAAACACUGCAGACGCUGCACAGAGGAAGCAGAUUUUGGUUCAGCAGCCUCUGCCUCCAGGAGCACCUGCUAAUAUCUUGCAUGGUCCUGCCUUCAUCUUCCCUUUGAGUCAACAGCAAGCGGCAGCUGCUGCUUCCGCUCGACCUGGUACAGUGAAGUCUCCUGCUGUUGCAGGUAGCACAACUUCAUCAAGCGCCUCUAAUUCUGCCUCAAUCAGUGCCACAACACCAGCGGUAGCUGGUGCCACAGCGAUGAGCUUCAACUACCCAAAUAUGUCCGGCAAUGAAACCCAGUACUUGGCAUUUUUGCAGAACAGUGCAUACCCAAUUCCAAUUCCUGCACAUGUAGGGGCGGCGCCAGCUUAUCGAGGAACGGGGGCAAUGCCUUUUUUCAAUGGUUCUUUCUAUUCUUCUCAAAUGAUCCAUUCUCCUCAGCUUCAGCAACAGCAGCCACCAGUCCCCCACUCUCAACAAGGCCAACAGGGUCAUCACAACCCAAGCAUUUCCAGUAGCUCCUCAUCAUCCCAGAAGCAUUUGCAGAACCAGCAGCAGAGGCUGCAUGGCAAUGGGAUUAAUGGUGGUAGUGGAAAUUUGCAAGGCUUUCCCAACUCGAAAAACCAACAACCACAGUCGACUCAGAUUCAGCAGCGGCAGCAGAUGCAGAACCAGAAUGUCCCUUAUCAAGCUCGGCAACUUGACGGUGAAUUAGGCGGUGAAGAUAGCCCUUCCACUGCUGAUAGUCGAGUCUCUCGUGCAAACAUGAGUAUCUACGGUCAGAAUUUUGCAAUGCCUAUACAACCACCAAACUUCGCUUUGAUGACUCCACCAACAAUGGGUGGUGCCACUGCAAGUGGCAAUCCAGGUGAAAGGAAGCAGCAGCAACCACAACCACAGGGUUCAAGGGUUGGGAUUGAACCUUCUCAGGCUUUUGCCAUGCCCUUUGCCUCCAUUAAUGGAGCCACUACUGCUCCCAGCCUUGAUAUUUCGUCAAUUGCACAAAAUCAUGCUAUUCUUCCUAGUCUCCCAGAGGCUGCAAGGCAUGGAUAUCAUGUCAUGGCAGCUGCUGCAGUUGCCCAAGCGCAGCAGAAGAAGAAUUACCGUGCAGCUGAAGAAAGGAAAACCGGUGGAACUGAUGGUUCAAAUGUAGAAGAAGAGAGAAAGGUCAUACCAGGAGGAAAGGCUCAGGCAAAUGCUGGGCAAUCAAUUGCCUUUUCCCGGCCAGAUUUAACAGAUACAUCUGUUUCGACAAUUCCAGGCAAUACUGUGAUUGAUAGCUCAGCACGAACUCUUAACCUUGGUUCUGCUUCUGCUCGGGCCACUGGUUCUGUUAUGCCAGCCUCUAUCAGCACUGUAAAUACUUCUAAUAUGCAGCAGCAACUGCAGCGGAAUCAGCAGCAGCAGCAGCAGCAGCAGUAGUCUACCACCGACACCACAACAACAGUGGCAGCAGUGGGUGGCGUCGAGGAAUCUUUCUGGCGAUGGUGGUUCUCAGUGGAUGGCGCCGAGUAAUCUGGCUUCUAUCGACGCUACCUGUUUCUUAUCUACUGCUGCUUUUUGUAUGGCAUUGUCAGAAGCCUAUUCUAUAUUGGAGAGUGAGCUGACAUUCCUUCCUGAUGAUGCUGAUGCAGGUUCAAGGCCACCAUACACACUGCUUUCUAAAUCAUCCCAAGUAUUAAUUCAUGACAGGGAAUUUAAUUGUUGGCAGAUUUUACAUCUGUUUGGAGGGUAUUAAACUGCCUGUAACAUUAAUAACAGACUUUUAGUAUUAAAUUUGGCCUCAUCAAAUGAUUUGCUAUUAUUCCUGAGUAAAGUUCAACUUUAGAUGAUGCUGCGUGACUUUAUUCAGCUUGAAAUAUUCUAUGAAGGGAAAUGUCACAAGUUUAUUUCUGUUUUGAUGGAAGGCUUUUUAUUUAGGAUUUGGCUCGACAAUAAGAGAGCUGUCUAUGUCAGUCUCCUUGAAUUGAUAUGUGGAGUCCUUGUUGUGGUAAUUUCAAUAUACAAAAUGCAAUAUCAUCUCCGUUCAGUUCUUAUAAAAGGAUGUGUUUAUUGGGAAAAUCAGUUAAACUAUUGUUUGUUUCAUGGUCAAGAUAAGAAGCAAAAGCUGCACCAACUACCAAGUGAGGAUGGAUAUAUUCCAUCAAGGCUAACUAGGCAUGCAAUGGUAUAGUACUGUGCAACUAUUUCUCCCUUGUAUCUUCUUGAGUGAUGCUCUUUCUAACUGGAAUUUUUCAUUAUUAUGGAAUAAUGAUAGAUUUGAUGCAAUUAUAGGUGCCUCAUAACAUCAGUCAUCUCUUGUUGUUUACAAGAGUUUCAGUUUGAAUAUUCAUUCUUUUCACCAAUCAUGCAGUUUUCCUUUCCACAAAAGAUAUGGAUGCACCAACCAUUUCUAAUUUGAUUCACUAUUGAUAUCCCUACUGAAUUUCCUGUGCUUUUUUUAUUUUCAGGAUCAUAGCAUCAUACUACAGCUGUUGUUUUCAUCAGAAAAAGAUCUCGCAGUUUCACUUUGCUACUGUGGAUGGAGUUCAUUAUAACACUGCUGCCACUUGCUUGGGUAAUUGGGAACUUUGUGGCUUUCUCGACCGCCUAGAUUUUGAGGCUGGUAGGAUGGAAAAUGAGAGAUGAAAAGAAAAUGGCCAUCGCAGAACAUGAAGACCUCUGUAUUUGUUAUUAGUGAUUAGUGAUUACAGACUUCAGCUUUUGAUUCUUCAUGUACACGUUUUGGUUUUCAGUUGAAUCCUCAGUUACAGGUAAGGUUCCGUCAUGUGGGAAAUCAGAGGGAUUGGGUUUUGCUAUUGUGGAUGCAAAUUGUAUUCAUGGAAGAAAGUUAGAUUGACAUUAUACCCAUCAGAUUCCUCACUUCCAAGAGUCCUCCAAUUGAGUCAAACUGCCAUGAGAAUGAAUUCAUUGAUUUGCGCUUUAUGAGAAGCAAUAAUGGCAUUUGUAUUUGUGCAGAUAGUAUUACAAUACAUGAUAAGAAGGGUGAAGACAACAGAUUGAGAAAAAUAUAUCAUAGGAAUGGAGAUCGUUACAUUCAAAACCAUAUUUUCAUGUAUCUAUCCUAGCAUGUAUUUAUUGGUGCAACGUAUCAAUGGAUAGCGGUCUUCCAAUGGAAGAAUGAACUUUGAAAGCUAAGCACGUGACGCAUUGUUCUCCGCUGACGCAUUGUUCUCCGCUGGUUUGCCGCGAUGAAUUAAGGUAUUGAGCAGAUUGAUUGCAUGUAAAGAGGCAUUGCGCAGCAACUUGCACCAUUCUUGGUAGGAGCUAUAUGCUGCUUUUGCAAAGCAACAAAACCAUAUGGCUAAAACGAUCCACCCAAACCAUGGGGCGAGAAUGAAUAGAAGCAAAAUGGUUGCAAGAAUUCAAAAUAAGAUGCAUGAGUCGCCAAUAAUUACAUUUGCUGAUUGGUAUUUGAUUUGUAUGAUGCAAUGCAAGGUAGAGAUGUAGAGAGGAAAGGAAGUUAACUGUGAUUAUUUUCUGAUCAGCAUAACAUGUGUAUGGUGAGGGGGUGUUCACUUUUUCCUCUCUCCCCCACCCCCCCCAACAACACUUCCCUUCCUAACCCUGCCCCGCACUACCGCAUUUACCUUCAAGUGUAUAUAUUCAAUUAUUUUAUAAAUAUUAUACAAUAUAAACU